This is a non-coding RNA of Podarcis lilfordi (Lilford's wall lizard), 73 nucleotides long. Lineage: Eukaryota; Metazoa; Chordata; Lepidosauria; Squamata; Lacertidae. The record is from the annotation of a GenBank genome assembly.
UGACAAGAUCAGUCGGUAGAGCAUGAGACUCUUAAUCUCAGGGUCGUGGGUUCAAGCCCCACAUAGGGCAAAA